This is a long non-coding RNA of Bacillus rossius redtenbacheri, 2215 nucleotides long. RefSeq lists it as uncharacterized. Lineage: Eukaryota; Metazoa; Arthropoda; Insecta; Phasmatodea; Bacillidae. The record is from RefSeq and is a predicted model, not a curated record. The transcript is spliced from 3 exons.
ACUUCCGCAGUCAAAUGGCGAGCUAUACGAAUGACGCGUUAGGUGUGAACGUAUUCACGAUAGUGAUAUGGACAUUGAGCAGCGAACGGACAAUAAGUGGAAGAUCAAAUUGGGUUGUAGUGAAUUGAAUGCGCGAACGAAUAAAUUAAUAUUACGUGAAGAUGGAGUACAUGCCUUGAACGAAACGAUGAAUGGGGCAGAUGAUCAUUAUGGACUGAGUCAACAUGGUAAACGGUUUGUUGCUGCAUGGACCCUCACCUGUGGUGUCUGCUGCCUGGAGUUUGCUGGGGUGGUUGCGACUUCGACUGGGUGUUGCUGUGACUCACCGUUUCAACUACCUCCGGCAGCAUUGUCAUCAUUUUGAGAGGUUCGAGUCAUGGCCUCCUAACUUUGGUGUUCCAGAGAGGGAAUCCGUGAAGAGAAUCGCACAUCACUUCAGUAAAGGCCAGAAAUUUUAUUUACCAUUAUUUCAUAAGGUUAUGUAACCUAUAUGUGUCUUGUGACGGCAUCUAUUUGAAAUCGUUAGAAUGAUCUUUAAUGCUUUGAACUUUUGUUGGCUAAAAUCAACGGUCAAGUAACCAUUUAAAGAAGAAUAGUUAAAACUAACAUGUUUUGAUUUGUAGUUAAUAAUGUACGUACCUAGUUAUAGCCGAGCAAGAUAUGUACUUCAUAUUUUUUUUAAAAGGCCAAUAAUUACAGUCAGCACAAACCCUUCACUUCCUCAUAUUAAUGUUUCCUGAAUUAUCUCAUUUAAUAUUUAUUUAUUAUGAUUAAUAUGCCCCCAUUGAGAUUAUGUGGGAUGCUACAAUGGAUGAAAGUCCAGCAGGUUAAAGCAAGAGACAAUAGAAGGGUAACAUGGGUAUAAAAAAUUGUAUUCUUUUUAGUUUAUUUUUGUUAGUGCUAGGGUGAAAAAAAAAAGGGGGGGGUGGUUGGUGAAGGAAGGGGCCAUAAAGGAUGUAGAGGGAAAAGACAUCAGUGCAGUUUCUAAUGUGACACUAAGCCAAGAGACAGAGCACAAACCCUUCACUUGUUUUCUACUGGAGACAGUUAUACGGUGUGACUCAUAUUUGCGGGCCAACCUUAACAGUGAAAAUGUUGGAUAUCUUUGACCCAAAAUUAAGGAUGCAGUUCAUACGAAAGAGCGACCUGCUGUAGGUAAAUUACCAUACUUUUACACUUAUUAUGGAAGUGUUUCAAAUACAGUAAAACCUCAGUAUAACAAGCUUGAAGGGACUGAUUUCGGGUGUGUUUAUUAUAGUGAAGUUUUCUUUAUAACGAUGUGAAUUCAAAACUACAAGUGAUAUGUAUACAAAAAAUAAAUUAAAAAGAAUUGAAUGCAUGAUGCUAAGGGCCGCUUUAAGAGUAAAGUAAGUAAAUCCAAGCAAAAACUUUGACCGUUAAAUGAAAUGGAGAAAUACUUUAUUUUGCAUCAAAGUGACAACUAUGCAAGCCUGUGUAAUUUUCUUUUACUUAGACAAACUUUUUUGUCUCCCUAUCCAACACCAUAGGCUACAGAAUUUUUAAUUUUGUGGUAAAAUAUAUUGCAUUCUUUUUUUUAAAUCCAUUAUUGUAAACAAAAAAUAAUUAUAGCACAGAAAAAAGUUAAAAUUCGUCGUAAACAUCGCAUAUGGUUUUGUCUAUCCAUAACCUAAUUUGUAUGUAAUCAAAAGCAAUUCAUCAAAGCUAACCUCCAAACAACAAAAUACGCUAAAUAUAUUGCCUUCUUUUGACGUGACAACUAAUAAAUCGAUGAACGCCGGCUGCACGCACGAAAAAGUGUCCCGUUACGCACAUUGUCCCGUUAUGCUCAUUGUACACUUGCGCCGCAUCUAUCUCUCUUCCACUCGAUUGGAACAACCAUCGAUUUGACUUUUUCGAGUCACGUUAAACUUGAAGCACUCCCAUUCGUUUCCUUCUUUUCCUAUCAUCGUCCUAUCCUUAACAGAAUAACAAUGAUUGGAAGGAGUUAAAUAGCAAACAUGUAUAAAAGUUAUAGUUAAAAUAAUCUGUUAGUUAAAGUAAUAAACAUAUUUGAAUAACCGACUUUACAGACAACCAAUUUUUUUUUAAAAUAUAUUAUUGUAAACAAAAAAUAAUUAUAGCACCGAAAGAAGUUAAAAUGCGUCCCAAUCAUUGCACAUGGUUUUGUGCAUCCAUAACCUAAUUUGUAUGUAAACAUAAGUAAUUCAUCAAAGCUAACCUCCAAACAAUAAAA